AACGUUGUUGCAGUUAAAAAGCUCGUAGUUGAAGUGAAGUGUGGAAGUUUGGCAUUUUCGUUUGAAUUUGCUUCUCUUCUAUACUCUUUCCAAAUAGUUUGCAUGGGUAUUCAUUUAUCUGUGUAUUGCAUUUGGUCAUUUACUGUGAGAAAAUUAGAGUGUUCAAAGCAUACGUUUGUUUGAAUACAUUAGCAUGGAAUAAUUCGAAAAGGCUUUCAUGUUCGAUUUGAUUGGUUUGUUCGUGAAGGCAAGAUUAAAAGGGACAGUUGGGGGUAUUCAUAUUCAAUAGUCAGAGGUGAAAUUCUCGGAUUUAUGGAAGAUGAACUAGUGCGAAAGCAUUUACCAAGGAUGUUUUCAUUAAUCAAGAACGAAAGUUAGGGGAUCGAAGAGGCUUAGAUACCCUCGUAGUCUUAACUAUAAACGAUACCGACUAGGGGUUAGUGGAGGUCAUUUGUCUCUACUAGUACCUUAUGAGAAAUCAAAGUCUUUGGGUUCCGGGGGGAGUAUGGUCGCAAGGCUGAAACUUAAAGGAAUUGACGGAAGGGCACCACCAGGAGUGGAGCCUGCGGCUUAAUUUGACUCAACACGGGGAAACUUACCAGGUCCAGACAUAGGAAGGAUAGACAGAACAAAGCUCUUUCUUGAUUCUAUGGGUGGUGGUGCAUGGCCGUUCUUAGUUGGUGGAUUGAUUUGUCAGGCUAGUUCCGAUAACGAACGCGACCUCCGCCUACUAAAUAGAAACAUGUAAUUCGUUAUAUGUUUCUUCUUAGAGGGACACUAUACAUUAAGUGUAGGGAAGCUGGAGGCAAUAACAGGUCUGUGAUGCCCUUAGAUGUCCUGGGCUGCACGCGCGCGACACUGAUUGAUUCAACAAGUGGCUGAUUUGAAAGAAUUGGC
RNAcentral lists this ribosomal RNA (897 nucleotides) under Blastocystis sp. subtype 10. Its description in RNAcentral is "SSU rRNA". It matches the Rfam family "Eukaryotic small subunit ribosomal RNA", at positions 606 to 1546 of the family's 1831-position model. Lineage: Eukaryota; Bigyra; Opalinata; Blastocystidae. The record is from RNAcentral.